This 1496-nucleotide long non-coding RNA is filed under the name Capsicum annuum. RNAcentral describes it as "long non-coding RNA (CANN_LNC002383)". Lineage: Eukaryota; Viridiplantae; Streptophyta; Magnoliopsida; Solanales; Solanaceae. The record is from RNAcentral.
CUUCAUUUUCCGAUCUUCCUAUCUAUUUAAAGGCCCUUCCCCUCUCUCAUUUUUCCUCACAAGCAAACUAAAGUUCUUUUCAGAGACACAAAUAUUUAUCUGUUAUUUGAAGUUCAUUGUGUAAAGUCUGAGUAGUGCAUUCAUACUACAACAAGAAGGUAUAUAUAUAUUUCAUUUCUCUAUCUAUGAUUCUUAAACAUGUGAGCAAAUCACAAUGAGUGAAGUCAAGAGAACAAAUGUUGUUUCUUUUUAUUUUGUUUGGUGAUUGUUGUUUAUGAUUUUCUUUUAGUCCAAAUUUAGCAUACACUGUCCUGGGGGAAGUCUGAGUAACCCAUGGAUCAAAAAUGACAACUUAGGGUGUUGAAUUUGCGAUUAAAAUGCCAUGAAAAUCUCCCUUAUAUGAUAUGCACAGAAGAUGUUCGAUAAAAUGCCUCAGAGGUUUCAAGUUACCAGAUGCAAGCGGCGGUACAUGCGACGGAACUUCGGAGUCCAGACGGACCGUCGCAUGACACCGUCGCACCUAUGUGAAAAACUGAUGCACUGGAAUCUACCCGACGGUAGGGAUCGAUGAACCGUCGCAUGCGUGAUGGACCGUUGCUUCCCACCUUCACACAUUUCUCAGAACAUGAGUUACUGGAAUACUCCGAUGGUAGGAGUCGAUGGACCAUUGCUGAUCUGAAACUUGCUUGAGCGCCGUUUCAAUUCAUAUGGGUUGGAUUGGAUGAGUAGGCCACUGGGAUCGUACCAACCUAUCUUGGUGUGGGAAUUCUUCGCUAAUUAUCUGGCACUGCUAGAAAAGGAUUUGCCCAAGGGUGCAACGGCUGCAGAUAGGGAUAAGCUUAAUGUAGUCCCAGUGAGAGGAGUCGACACUGAUUACUCGGAAAGGGCGCUGAACAGGUUUUUAUUUGGCCCGGAAUAUCAAAUACCAGGGGCUAUCCCAGAGUUGGAGCAUUGGUUAUUCACAUGAGCUGAAUAAAGGCGAUGUCUAACCAGGAUUCUGACAGAUGGAGGUAACCUUACAUGGUUACUUGACCCACGUGAGAGAAUCUCGAAGAAAUCACUGAAUUUCAGGGAAAAAUUCUGGUGGGCUAUUGUACGACUAAGGCUUAUGCCCACAGGUGGUGAUGAUCUUCUUGAGAGCACCCAAGCUGUACGCAUUCUCUACGUGCUUCAUUGAUGAGAAUGUUGUUUCGAUGCUUUCAGUUGCAACACGUAAAAUUAAAUUUCACUUUAGAAGGAAAUAAAUAAAUGUCUAGGUCUGAUCCGGCUUUGGCUCCUCUCCAUUUCCUUUCUCUCCAUUUUCCCCAAGUCCCCAUCUUGAUUAAUGACACAUGGCCUAAUUAAAUUAAAUGGCUAAGGUUUAAUUUAUUCUAAACUAAACCUCUAACUAUUAUAAAUAUAAUAUAUCAACUAAAAAUAAGGUUUUUUAUCUCUAUCAAUUUCUCAAUAUUCCCUUCCUAUUAUUUCUCUCAACUUUCUCUUAUUUCCUCCGAAUU